Non-coding RNA from Salmo salar (Atlantic salmon), 93 nucleotides. The record is from Rfam. Lineage: Eukaryota; Metazoa; Chordata; Actinopteri; Salmoniformes; Salmonidae.
UUCCCUGUGGCUCAGUUGGUAGAGCAUGGUGUUUGCAACGCCAGCAUGGUGUGUGCAACGCCAGGGUUGUGGGUUCGAUUCCCACGGGGGGAC